This 496-nucleotide ribosomal RNA is filed under the name uncultured bacterium. Its description in RNAcentral is "partial 16S ribosomal RNA". It matches the Rfam family "Bacterial small subunit ribosomal RNA", at positions 29 to 507 of the family's 1533-position model. The record is from RNAcentral.
AUGAACGCUGGCGGCGUGCCUAAUCCCUGCCAGUCGCGCGAACAGACGAGGAGCUUGCUCCUCUGACGUUAGCGGCGGACGGGUGAGUAACACGUGGAUAACCUACCUAUAAGACUGGGAUAACUUCGGGAAACCGGAGCUAAUACCGGAUAAUAUAUUGAACCGCAUGGUUCAAUAGUGAAAGACGGUUUUGCUGUCACUUAUAGAUGGAUCCGCGCCGCAUUAGCUAGUUGGUAAGGUAACGGCUUACCAAGGCAACGAUGCGUAGCCGACCUGAGAGGGUGAUCGGCCACACUGGAACUGAGACACGGUCCAGACUCCUACGGGAGGCAGCAGUAGGGAAUCUUCCGCAAUGGGCGAAAGCCUCACGGAGCAACGCCGCGUGAGUGAUGAAGGUCUUCGGAUCGUAAAACUCUGUUAUUAGGGAAGAACAAAUGUGUAAGUAACUAUGCACGUCUUGACGGUACCUAAUCAGAAAGCCACGGCUAACUACGUG